UACGUAGGUGGCAAGCGUUGUCCGGAUUUACUGGGCGUAAAGAGCGCGCAGGCGGUCGGAUAAGUCGAAUGUGAAAGCCCCCGGCUCAACUGGGGAGGGUCAUUCGAUACUGUUCGACUCGAAGGCAGGAGAGGGAAGUGGAAUUCCCGGUGUAGUGGUGAAAUGCGUAGAUAUCGGGAGGAACACCAGUGGCGAAGGCGACUUCCUGGCCUGUUCUUGACGCUGAGGCGCGAAAGCUAGGGGAGCGAACGGG
RNAcentral lists this ribosomal RNA (253 nucleotides) under uncultured bacterium. RNAcentral's name for it is "partial 16S ribosomal RNA". It matches the Rfam family "Bacterial small subunit ribosomal RNA", at positions 524 to 776 of the family's 1533-position model. The record is from RNAcentral.